Long non-coding RNA from Oncorhynchus gorbuscha (pink salmon), 405 nucleotides. RefSeq lists it as uncharacterized. The record is from RefSeq and is a predicted model, not a curated record. The transcript has 3 exons. Lineage: Eukaryota; Metazoa; Chordata; Actinopteri; Salmoniformes; Salmonidae.
AUCUCUCCAAUGGUGGUUACAACUUAGACUGAAGGAAGAACCAACAUUGGCAACAUGACACAAACUUCAACAAGAAGAGUUCUACUUUGCUUUUGCUCACUGACAGCUCUCCUCUCAUGUGCUGUUGCUCAGGACCAAGAUGUUGGGAGCAAUAGCUGCUCCUCAACCACCUUGAUGUUUAAACAGCUCUCUACUCAGCUUGCAAAGGCAGCACAAUGUGCUAAAAAUAUUACUAGCCAGUGGAGCGACGACCAGACUGCUGUUGUGAUUAACUCCCUACAAACUCUGACAGUCAUUCUAGAGAAACAUCAAAAAACAGGUAAGAGUCCUGAGCAAAACACAGAUCUGUGUACAAUAAGAGUUUGUUGCUGACAAAUACUUUAUUGGCCCCAAAUAAGCUAUGGC